This 428-nucleotide unclassified non-coding RNA is filed under the name Hevea brasiliensis (rubber tree). Lineage: Eukaryota; Viridiplantae; Streptophyta; Magnoliopsida; Malpighiales; Euphorbiaceae. The record is from RNAcentral.
AUUAUUAUUAUUAUUAUUAUUACGCGCUUUUUGUUUGAUCGCUCCUGUUAUUCCUGAUUCGAAUUCGAUUUGCAAGUUCUAUGCUCGGGUCUUUGUAUGAUUUUUUUUUUCUCAAAAAAAUUUCUUAGCGGUUAUAGUUGUAUUAAUUCGUAGCAUGGCCUGCUUAAGGAGUGGACAAGGUCUAGAGGAAAGUAUUAUUUUGUAAAAUGGAAAAGUAUUUAUUGUCCAUGGUUUUGCGUCUUUUGUGGGGAAUUGGAACUUGGUGUUGUUUACUGUCCAAGCAUGUAUUCCACUGAAUAUUUGUUGUAGUUAAUCAUGGUUAAGUUAUUGGUUUUUUAUGAUAGAAACUAACAUUGUAUUUUGGCUUGGGUGAUAAUGACAUAUUGAAAAGAUAUUGAAAAUAAACUGGUCAAUAAAAUCUCAAGAGU